RNAcentral lists this long non-coding RNA (1373 nucleotides) under Carica papaya (papaya). RNAcentral's name for it is "long non-coding RNA (CPAP_LNC011847)". Lineage: Eukaryota; Viridiplantae; Streptophyta; Magnoliopsida; Brassicales; Caricaceae. The record is from RNAcentral.
UACAAAUGAGCAAAGAAUAUCUGGUUCCAGGUGUCUGGUACUCCCGGCAAACACCAAUGAAUACAAUCUGCAUGCCUCAAUGGAUCAUUCUUUUGCUCUUCCGUCAACAGUUCUCCCCCAGUCUCUGUAUAAACCGAUGUGUGAGCAUCAAUUCGGUACUCUGAAAUCUGUGUUAUGUUGAUAAACGUAACGGGAACUUUCAUCUUCCCAACUACACUUGCCACUACGCUCAUCAUUUGCUUAUUUGAACCGCUUCCCCAGUGCUUCUUCUUCAUCACUGGUAUUGUUUCAUUGAAACAUUUGAUUCCUUCCUUGUUCCCCCAAUCCUGGCUUCUGCAAUUUGGUACCAAAGUUGAGUUACUAAUGGUUGCCCACCAACUGUUUGUGUUUUUUCCUCUGAGAAAAUGAGAAUAAUGAGAGAGAGAGAGAGAGAGAUGAACCUUGUGUGUGUAGGGGACAUGGUAGUGAACAAGACUCUGGUUUUGUUGGGAUUUAUAGUUGAGUCGACCCAGUUGGCCCACGUCUUCAAUCCUAUUCUAUAAGCUACAGGUGUAUCUAGUUCCUCGAACCCUUCGUUCCCAUUUGCAAAAGAACCCCAUCUGCUCUUAAUUUUAAAUAAUUGUUACCGAUUAAUCCUUAAUUAUAUAUACAAGUGAAGAUGUGUUUUGUUUGAAGUAUUAGAAUAGGGAACUUACAGUGAGUUGAUUCUAAGGCCACUCAUCCACCAGACAUAAGUAUUGAAGAUAAGAAUAUCCACUCCUAUCCAGUUUUUGGCAUGCCUGGCUACUGAAUCCACUUUCAAUAUUCUCUUCUUUGGAUCUGCUAUUAUGGGUUGAUCAGAAUUUGAUUCCACUAGAAAUGGAGCCCAGUAAAAUUCAAUACUCGUAUUGUAUUCCUGAGGAAGAAGAAGAUGAUGAUGAUGAUGAUUGAUCACUAAUUCUAGUUUAUUUAUUUCUCUUAUUUAUGCUGUUAUAUUUUUGCAUUCCAUUUUGUGAAUUAACUUUCUUUGUAGUAAAUCUUACUGUGUGUUAUAUUGUUUUCUACAGGAGGCACAGCAAAGAAUGAUGAGCACAAAAAUCACCGGUAUGCUAGUUUUAGAGACAUGGUAAUUUACUAAUAUUGCAUACACUUUGCAGUAAUUUAUUAGUAACUUGUAUAGUAAUCAGUACUAAAUAAAUAACAGGAUAAUGUUAGGGACCAUAGGAUAUAUUUUAGCAAUUCGAUAACACAAUGUUUUGGUAAUUACUACUCUAAAAUAUUAAACAAUUAGCUCUCUUGGUAAUUCAACAAGUCUUUUCAAGGUAAAGUUGUAAGGUAUAACUAGCUCUCUUUUGCCUAAAUAAGUUAUUCGGAAGUUCAGUCUUUAUACCUUG